This is a long non-coding RNA of Ictalurus punctatus (channel catfish), 1018 nucleotides long. NCBI's taxonomy places the organism in Eukaryota, Metazoa, Chordata, Actinopteri, Siluriformes, Ictaluridae. The record is from Ensembl.
GAGUAAUUCUGUGUACUAUUAUGUAACCUUUAGGGUUAAACCUUUCAGCAUAGGGGUUCAUCAUAGAUAUAAACCUAUUAUGCAUACUCAUAGGAAUACGCUUACUGUGAAAAAAGCCUUCGCCCCAUCUUUUAGGCUGUGAGGAUUGUGGACAUGCUUUCUGGGUGGGAAGGAUAACCCACACUAUCUCACUAGCCAAUAGAGGGCAUCUGUGAGCUCAUGUAUGUGGAAGAGGGCCUAUAGCACUUUCCUACAAGAGUGUUGCACUGUCCUGUGACACAACAUGAGCAGCAGUUCAGAAAGAACCUGUUGGAUGACUUCACAUGUCUCGGAGGAAGCAUGUGUUCGCCUUCACCUUCACCUGGUUGGUAGAUUUCCUAUGAUUGGUUAGAGCUGGCUGGUGGUGUGGUUGAGAAUUGGCAAGUGAGCAAAUUAGGAAGAAAAGUUUAAUCACUUGACACCAGUGACUAUGUGAAUAUUUUGAGUCCUUAUGUUAUGUAUUUUUCCUUUUUUAAAAAAAAAAUAAUAAAGAGAGGGAUGACUCAACCCCACUAGCCUAAUUACACCAGCCGGGCCUGCAUUUGUUGCUUUCCCUCUCACUUUCAGCAUGCUUUAUGGCAAAUAUUAGUACACUUGUUUUGCAAACUGAAGCCAGUACAGACAUCUCAGUCAAUCUCAGACCGAGCUGUAAGUGUGAAAGAUGAGGUGUUUUGGAGUUGUCAUCUGGCUGCCGUGGACUCAUGGGACAGCAUUCUGGACGAGGACCUAUGCCAGGCCCGUUUGCUGACUCAGUGCCUUAUGUGUCCUGCCUUUUUCCUAGAGCAGGUGCCGAGGAAGAGACAACAGAUCAGUGACUAGUGUGACACACACUUCAUUAGGAAGACGAAUGGUUUAUUUGGAGUGUAUAAAUCACAUAAACAUUGUAUAUGGAGAGACGGAGAGGAUGCCAAAAUGCAGCUGGAAUCUCAUCCUUACUGCUCAAAAAGGAUGCCUGGACCUCCUACCCGCUGUUUCACCA